Molecule: long non-coding RNA, 1375 nt
Organism: Grus americana (Whooping crane)
Lineage: Eukaryota; Metazoa; Chordata; Aves; Gruiformes; Gruidae
Exons: 3
Source: RefSeq, a predicted model, not a curated record
GGAACAGGCAGGCAGUUAGCAGAUAGAGGCUGACGGGAGCAGAGUGAUGACCUAAUCCUGCAUCCUGCCAUGUGGAUUUUGCCAGACCUCUUGCCUCAGUUUCCCCAUUUGUCAUCUGGCUAGGUGGCAUCACCUAAAAAAGAUUCCCCUUCCCCAGGCAGUACUGAGAUGUGGCUGACAGGCAAGCAGAGCUGCCAGUCGUGCCUGCUGAGGUUUUUCAGACUCUUAUUUGUAUUUUUUUUUCCAGUAAGUCCCUCGGCAGAUGACAUUACCGCACCUGCGAGAAACGCCAGCUCUGCACAUCUCGAGGAAACCAUCAUUUCCAGCAAUCAGUUCUUGGCCUAUUUAGCUGGUUUACAGCUAAAAAAACACCUUUAUGGAGAUGGUAGACCCGGGCAUCGGCAGCAGGUGACCCAUCUUCGAGAGAGACCUUCCCGUGCAGGGUCGCAUCCUCGCACAUGCAGGCAUCGCAGUCGGCGUUGACGCGGCCCAUGAGGCAGGUGAUGUUGCAGGCUGGAGGAGAGGAUCUUUAUGGGUCCCCGAUGAUUCCUCAUAUCUGGAUCCCCCCCUUUAUUGUGCUAUUUGGCUAUAAACUCCCCAUGCUCUGCUCCCUUAGUACUGCUUAGUACUCCAGCCCUGCUCUGGAAGGCACCGGCAUCAUGGAAUUCUGGCAAGGGAGAGAAGGAUGGGAAAAACGGCAGCGAAGGGAGGGCAACGCCUACGCACUGGUGAGAUCAGGACAUUGUCCCUUGCCCGUAAGUGAGGUUAUAGGAGCACCUGAGCAAACAUGUCCGAUGCAGAGCCGCCCUUCUUCAGUUGCUUCGUUACAGUGCACGCCCCAGAGGCGCUCAGCUAGGCAGGAUCUGGUACGCUUCUGCACACCGGUUUGGCCACACUUUCCUGAGCACUCACUCCAUUCCGACCAUGGAGACAAAAACCUUUUGGAAUCUUGCACCAGUGGACCUUGAAUAACAUCAGCAGUGUGUUACUGAGACGCGUGUUACACGUACAGCUGCCUGAAAACGGGCAGUUGGUGUCUUAGAAGCUGCUAUACAGAAGCUGCUGUAUAACUCAGACUAUACAUUUGGAUAUUAUGCACCACAUGGUUUAAACAAACUCAAAGCGUGUUCAGGGAGCUGGGAAAUAAAGCACAAGAAGGCAUCUGAAGGCUUCUGACUUAAUUCCCUGCAGGCUACCGAAUUCAGGAUGAUUAAAAUAAACUUGAGGGGAGCAAAGUGCACGCAGCUCAUGCUUAGCGUUGAAUAACUUUGGCUUAAAGGAAAUCAAACACACAUUGUCAUUUAAAUGCUGUCUGAGGGGCAACGCUCGCCUGCAUUUCAAAUGUGGUUAAAUAAAAAAAAAAAAGAGGGUAAAA